Molecule: ribosomal RNA, 432 nt
Filed under: uncultured bacterium
Lineage: Bacteria
Description: partial 16S ribosomal RNA
Rfam family: Bacterial small subunit ribosomal RNA
Source: RNAcentral
AACGAACGCUGGCGGCAUGCUUAACACAUGCAAGUCGAACGAGAACCUCGGGUCUCUUGGUGCACGCGAGCUUAACGCCUGGGAACUUGCUCACAGGUUCGCAACCUCCCCCCGAAAGGGGUGCUACAACCGGAAAAUGUUUCUGGUCCCAAGUUCUAUCGCCUUUGGAUGGGCCCGCGUUGGAUUAGCUAGUUGCUAGGUUAAAAGCCUCCCAAGGCGACGAUCCAUAGCUGGUCUGAGAGGAUGAUCAGCCACACUGGGACUGAGACACGGCCCAGACUCCUACGGUAGGCAGCAGUGGGGAAUAUUAGACAAUGGGCGAAAGCCUGAUCCAGCGGGGCCGAGUGAGUGAUGAAGGCCUUAGAAUUGUAAAGCUCUUUUACCCGAGAUGAUAAUACCAGUACCGGGAGAAUAAGCACCGGCUAACACCGU